GACGAACGCUGGCGGCGUGCCUAAUACAUGCAAGUCGAACGGAAAGGCGCUGCUUUUGUGGGGUGCUUGAGUGGCGAACGGGUGAGUAACACGUGAGUAUCAUGUCCUUGACUUUGGGAUAACUUUAGGAAACUGGGGCUCAUAUCGGAUAGGAGCUCCUGCUGCAUGGUGGGGGAUGGAAAGUUUCGGCGGUUGGGGAUGGAUUCGCGGCUUAUCCCCUAGUUGGUGGGGUAGUGGCUUACCAAGGUUUUGACGGGUAGCCGGCCUGAGAGGGUGACCGGCCACAUUGGGACUGAGAUACGGCCCAGACUCCUACGGGAGGCAGCAGUGGGGAAUAUUCCACAAUAGGCGGAAGCCUGAUGCAGCAACGCCGCGUGCGGGAUGACGGCCUUCGGGUUGUAAACCGCUUUCGCCUGUAACGAAGCGUGAUUGACGGUAAUGGGUAAAGAAGCACCGGCUAACUACGUG
Molecule: ribosomal RNA, 468 nt
Filed under: uncultured bacterium
Lineage: Bacteria
Description: partial 16S ribosomal RNA
Rfam family: Bacterial small subunit ribosomal RNA
Source: RNAcentral